This is a long non-coding RNA of Chelonia mydas (Green sea turtle), 10010 nucleotides long. RefSeq lists it as uncharacterized. The transcript has 4 exons. Lineage: Eukaryota; Metazoa; Chordata; Testudines; Cheloniidae. The record is from RefSeq and is a predicted model, not a curated record.
UGUACCUUGGGGAACUUUUUGACCUAAGCUGGUAAAGAUAAGCUUAGGAGGUUUUCAUGCAGGUCCCCACAUCUGUACCCUAGCGUUCAGAGUGGGGGAGGAACCUUGACAACUGUUCUUAGGGAAGGCAAUGUUGAAGCAUGCUUUGCAUUUUCCUUGAAACAUAGGGGGAGUUGUGGUAGUAAGACUGGUACCUAAAAGAUUGCCUAUCUUGAGUUGAGUUACAUGUUGCUCAUUACAGUAGCAUCUGAGCAUCUUACAACUGUUAAUGUAUUUAUUGUCACAACAUCUCUGAGAGAUAGGAAAGUGCUAUUAUCCCCAUUUUAAAGACAGGCACAAAGAUACCAAGUUACUUUCCCCUGGUCACCCAGGAAGCCUGUGUCAGAGCAGGGAUUGAGCUCAGAUCUCCCAAGUUUCAGACUAGUGCUCAUUACAACCAUACAUCCUCUCAUAUUAUCCUGGGCUCAGGUCAUGUAGUACUGUGAAAUAAGGACCAAGUCUGUAAACUUAAUGUGGUACUCUGUGGGAAGCCAGUGAAGAGAUUGAAGCACCAGGAUACUGUAUUGGUCGUAAUCUGUGCCCUCAAUGAGGCAUGCUGUUGCAUUCUUUACCCACUGCAGUUUUCUCAAGACUUAUGUUUUUGAGCCCAAGUAAAAUGCAUUGCUAUAAUCCAUUUGGGAGGUAUUCUUAUGACCAGGUCAGUGGUAGCAAGAAUGGGACAAAAUCUUCCUAAUUGUUUGGUGAUGAUAGAAAAAGUGUCAUACAUGCUUUUUUUGCAAGAACUUUGUGUCUGGGAGGAGGCUAGAAAGACUGCCAAGAUGUGGACUGUCUUGAUGUUCUGUGGGCAUGCAUUGUCGACUGGAGAGAGCUGCAACUUGAUGGCUAGCUGUUUGAAGUGUUAACCUCUGUCUUGUUGGGAUUCAAUUUCAAUAAGCUCUACCUGAGCCAUGUGCUAAUGUUGGCCAGUCACUGGGAAAACGGGAUGACCAUAUUGUUAGCCUAUAUUGAAAAUGACAAAUUUGGGUCAUUUUCACGUUGUUGACAUUAUAGCCCAUGAAGUCUCCCCAUUUCUCCCAUUGGCUAAAUGUAAAUACUUAUUGAAAUUGGGGAGAGAAUUAAUCCAUGUGGUUCUCCACAAAUGAAAAAUCUGGUAGCAAAGGUAGCUUCUGUAUGUGACUCUCAAGAAAGGACUCAUAUAAUUAGAGAGCAUUUCUUUGGAGCACUGUCAUUUCCCUCAGAUGGGAUAAUAAUGUCUUGCAGUCAGACAUAAUGAAUAUUGCAGAGAGGUCCAGGAGUGAGACAAUGGACAUUUGUUCUUUAUAUGUAGUAGGAGAUCUUCCAUUAGCAGUAACAGUACUGUUUCUGUUCUGUAUCCUGGCCAAAACCAGACUAUGUUAGAUCGUUUCCUUAUCCCCGAAACAGAAAAGGAAGGACAAGGCUUAGCAUUUUUGAUAAACUUCUUUUUUCUCUGCAAGGAAAAGAUCAGCCUCCUUUAAAAAAAUCAUAGUGAUGCAAAAAAGAGCACUUGGUAGGCAUGCAGAUUUUAAAAUGUUGUCCAGAGAUUUUUUCAAACUGCAAAUAUUUACAUCAACAAUUGCUGUGGUACUACAUCCAGUGAGGUAUCUUGCAUCUAACACAGAAGUAUAUUUCAACAAGCCACAUGAGUCGUAGGCACUCAGCACAAUGAUGUACACAGUAUGAAAACAGAUGCAUGUUACUUAUCUAGGAACUUUAAUUUUGUAACAUUUAAAGGGCCUUUUGUUUGUUUGCUUGUUUCUAGACUUUUGCAGGUAUAAUAUAACCUUUCUAACAGUGUAACUUUCCCUUUAAGUGCCAAGGACACUGGCAGUUUUCCUGGCAUUGACAGAACAUUAUCAUUCUCCCUUGUAACACAGAAACAGACCUUAAACAUUUUCUGACCUCAUCUGGCUAUUUCAUAAAAGAUAAUUAAAUGUACAUAUGUAUAUCUAGUGUAUAUCAAAUCUUCUUGAUUUGAUAAUUUAACAUUGUGUUUAUUUUCUUUCAUUUUAAAGAUGUUGGAGUUGCCGGUGUGUUAAAGUCUCCGUCAUUGUUGAGAAUCAUUCGCUUGGUGCGGAUUAGCCAAAUCCUGAGACUAAUAUGGCAAGCCCAAGGAAUUAGAACUCUCCUUUUUACAUUAUUGAUGUCCCUUCCUGCUCUGUUCAAUAUUGGUGUCCUACUUUUUCUGAUCAUAUAUAUUUAUGCUAUUUUGGGCAUGGCUUACUUCGCCUGUGCUAAUUGGGAUGGUGGGAUUGAUAACAUUUUCAACUUCCAAACCUUCGGUGGCAGCAUGCUCUGUCUCUUCCAGAUCACAACGUCAGCCGGCUGAGACGGCCUUCUUAACCCUUUCGUAGGGACAAGAUUUGACUCUUGUGCUCCAAAGUUAAAGAUACAACCUAGAGACAAUACUGCUUGUGUAAAUAGCUCUGUAGCAAUUAUAUAUUUUGCAGUGAGAACAGUACUUGCAGAUACAGAUGAAAAAUGACAGGAAUAAUAAGUGUCUUCAGAAGGCUUCACUGCGUGAGAACAGUGUUGGGGAACAGUGAGUGAUCAGGCGUGCACACUGAUCUCUGAACCUCUAAACAAGAUGGAUUCAGCUUUCCUGACAGAUGGGGAAUAGAGAAGAAUAGAUUCCACCAAAACAGGCCUGGUGAGAAGGAUCUUCAAAUCAGCUGAUGUCACCUGAGUGGAGGAAGUAGUCAGAAGUGUAAAAGUCCUACCAAGUGUGACGGUAAUGGAAAAAGCCUUCUACUUUGUCCAGAUCUGUGUGACUGCUUUGUCUGUGACUUCUGAGUUAGUGACUUGCAAUGUAUUCCACCACUACCAAAGAAUUUCCCUAAGCAGGCACCAUGGACUCUGAUGACCUUUGGUGAAGCUGUGUGACUCCUCCUUACCUAUGUUCAUUCAGAAGCUUCAUGAAUUUCUAGCAAAAGAAGGAAAGACUUUAACUGAGGUAAUAGGAGUUAGGAAAAGGAUAGGGAUAGGACAGGCUGAUGGUUGGAUGCAGCUAGCAAAAGGUUGGAAACAGUAGUGAAGGUGAAGAAGAUGGAAAUAGGAACAACAAUGAGAGGAGGAAAUUGUCAAUUUUGUUUUGGACUCCCAUUGCCUUCAAUAGGCACUGGAUCAGCCCCUCACCCCCCCCCCCCUUUUUUUUUUCCAGACUGUUACAGAACAUUAUCAUCAUACACUCAGAGUGAGAUACUCCACUCAACCAACAGGAUGCUAAAUUCUAUCUUAACCAAAAGUAACAACGGCAAAAAUAACAGUAGCCAUCAACUUCCUUGCCAGGUGUAAAUGGUGAGGGGAGGGAAACAGGUCUGGUUGUUACUGCUAUUUGGUCAACUAGAAAUAACUGGAAAUCAGACCCCAGAGUUGCAAACUUUGAUAACAAAUUAUGGCUGAACAUCCUCCAUCAGGAGGGCUGAUAUAAUUGGACCCAAAUCAUCUGAUUUCCUUCUUCACCCUACCAUAAUCACCUAAUACAUAACAAUAGGCAUAUAAUAAAUUAUUUAAGAAUAAUGAUUAUUAAACAACACUUACUGACCGUCUUCAACAGUUGUUUAUAUCCAAUUGGAAAUUUGAGUCCAUUCCAAGUGAUAUAAAAGAUGCAGUUCUGUUCCCUCUAUAUAAUAGAAUUGGUGACGGAGUAGAGUGUGGAAAUUACCAAGGGAUCUCCCAUCUAUCUAUUCCUGGUAAAGCACUGGCAAGAGUCCUCAAUCAGCUUCUACAACACUGGGUCAGAUUUCUUUCUGAGAGGCACUUGGAUACCUCAGUGAUGAAUGCAUUAUAAAUGCUUGGACAGAGAGGCAUCAAGUGGUUUCAGAGUAUGAUGUGGUAACACUGGUAUGAUCUUUAUUCUUUGCCAGCACCAGAGAAGAUAAGUGAAGAAUAUCAGCCAUAAUAAGUGGUUUUUAUUGAUCUACAGGGGGCCUUUGAAAGUAUUAAAAAGAUAUUUAGGCAACUCCUCAGGAAAAAAAACUUCCCGGGCAAGUCAGUUGCAAUCAGCUCUUUAUUUCAUGAGGCUAUGCCUGGAAGAAUCAGUUAUUGCAAUAAUGUCCUUCCUGAUCCCAAUCUGAUCAAGACAGGUGUGAAACAGGGAUACAUAUUUCUACUGGGUUUGAUUCAGUAUGUUUUUUUGCUGUUGUUAUUAAUGAAGUUUGUUACUAUCUGCAGCCAGGAGUCUGCAUUCACUUUGGAGAAGAUAGAGAUUUCAGUCUGUCAUACAAGAAAGCAAAACCUUAAAUCACUGACUGUCUCCAAAAUCUGCAUUCUGCUGCUGGUCUUUUUGUCCUUUCUGAACAGGAGCUACAAGAAAUGGCUACACAUUUUAAUAUGGCAGCACUGUCCAUAUUUUUUUUUUUUUUAAAGGCCCAAAUUCUCUGUCACUAUCCUCUGAGUUACCAUGUUGGUCCAAAAUCAUCACCAAAAGACACCAAGUUUACAGUUUUAUAAGAUGUUUUUUAUUAACUAGUGUUCAAAAAUUCAGGCUUCAUAUAAGUAUUCAGAUGCUAAAUCUCUAAUAUUCUUCCUUAGCCGAAUAUUUUUUAAUACAAUGGAAAUCAUUUUAAGAAAGAAAAUGUAUCACAAUGUUGUUUACUUUUACUACAGUACAUGUAGUAGUUUCCAUACUUAGAAUGGGAAAUACUACAAGUACUGUGAUAGUCAGCUACUGUGCAUUUUAAAUGGCAUCUCCUGUAUCUGUUCAAAGCUGAAUAGUUAGGAGGCACAGUUCCCUUCCCAUGAUAUUUGUGGCCUGGUAAGCUCAUGCGCUUCUCCUCUUUUUUUCUGAAUGCCAGUUCUGAUGGUAGCUGAGGGUAAUCCAGAGACAGGAACCUCUCUCUCUGGCCUCUCCAUGUAACGCCAGAUGAAUCUUCUUUUAUGACCAUUUAUAUAAGACAAUCUUACUGUUGUUCCUUUCCUACCCAUUCCCCACCUGUAACUAACUUUAGCUAUUAAUCUGUCAUUCUGCCAGUAUCAAUUAAGUUUGCUUAAAGUAAGGAAAGAGUGAACCUCAUCAUAUAGAUGUACUUACAUCUGUGUCAUUAGUAUAAAUAAACAACAUACCUCUAGGUCAAAGGUAUAAGAAAAGGAACAUUCAGAGUAAGGUCUUUAACUUUUCAAUGAUGGGGAAAAAUCCUUUUGUGAAAGAAAAGUUUAUUUUUCAAAAGACAUUUAACCACCAUGACAGUGAAAAUAACCUUCAAUUUAUGAUUAUGGGUUCAGUGCUUAUACCUGGCUAUACAGAAGCAGGUGUUCUAAUUGCAAUGCUUUUUUCAUAAUGUUUUAUAACAUUCUAUUAAUAAACAUAAUGGGGAAAGUAAUAUCUAACUCAUAUAUUCUGUUAUAUGAUGUUAGUCAUUGGAUUUGAUUAUUAACAUCCUGCUGCAGUAAAGGAUAAAAUAAUAGAUACAAUUGUAUUACUUAUUGCUUUUUCCAUUGUUCAGUUUCUAACUCCUCUUCAGCUGAGCACUGUUCUUUGAUAUUCAGCUGAAUACUACAAUUUUUAAUACUUAAUUAAAAUUUAGCUGAUAAACAUGAACAGGGAUGAAGAGCAUUGUGAGGGUCUUCUGCAGUCACUAGCAGUCCGCUAGCAUCUGACAUGAUUUUCUGGAGGCCUACUCCUAUCCUGAUACAGGAAGUAAUCCAUCUGGAAACUGUCUGUGCUGAAAGUGCUUGCCCUCUUAUUCUGUCUUGCAUACAAAAUGAAGAGCUGAGGGAACAGCCUGUAAGUCUUAGUUCUGUCAAGAUGGAAGGCUAAAGCUCACCUCACAUCUAAAGUAUGGAGACACUCCUCAUCCCUAUUUGAAUGUGGCUUUGGGGAAAAAAACAGGUAAGUAUAUUGUCUGGUUUAAAUGAAAAGCCAAUACCACUUUAGUUAAAAAUGGUGGAUGUAGCCUCAAAGUUACUUUAUCGUUGAAAAAUAACAUAUGUGGAGGUCCUGCCAUGAGAACCAGCAGCUUACUCAUUCUUCAGGCUGAUAUGAUGGCAAUAAGAAAAGAUACCUUCUGAUACAGGUGAGGCCAAGAACAGGUGGCAAUCAAGGGCCCAUCAAGGCAGAUAAUACAAUGUUAAGAUUCCAAAGUAGUACUGUAUCUAUAACAGGAAGAAAAAGCUGAAUAAUCUUUUAACGAUCUAGAGAACAUGGGGUUGGAAAAGACCAGUCUCCCUUGAAUGGGAGGAUGGAUAGCUGAGAUCAUUGCUAAGUGAACUCUCACAGAGCUUAGAGAAAGUCCUGAGGAUCUGAGAUGUAACUGGUACUCAAAUGUCUUGAAUCUUAGUUUCUGUUGGCUAUAUUCCCUGGAGAAUGGACCAGUUGGUGAAACAUUUCCACUUAGCUCAAUAAGUGGCUUUAGUGGACUGCUUUCAACUAUUAAGUAAUAUUUCCUGAACUGCCACUGAGGAGCCUCUCAGCUUUAUCUAAUCACUCAACUGCCGUGUCAUGAGGUGCAGACUGUUUGGAUCCAGGUGCAAUAUUCAUCCAUGCUGCUGAGAUAGCAGGUCUGGGAGAGGAGGCAGAGGCCAUAGAGGUGGAAUCAAGAGACUGAAAAUCCAAGAACUAGCAUUGUCUCAGCUAUGCUAUAAUAAUUAUCUUGGCAUUCUCUCAUUUCAAUCUGAUGACAACCUACAGGAUGAGAAAAGGAGUACUUGAAUUGAUGGGAGAUGCAUACACGAGACUUGGUUCCUACCAUAGGAAAAGGCUGUGGUUAGUGAGGCUGGCCUAUGACACACUUGGGAACAGACUUGGCAUUUUCUGUUAUCCUUUGUCACAAAUGUAUUGACUGAUAGAAUGCACCAGACCUGAAAAACAUUUCUGAGCACACACUUCUUCAGGGACUGCUCAUGAUUUUGGGAAAAUCUCCUUCUGAAGUGAUCUGCCAACUGAUUCUGGGAACUUGGUAAAUACAUGGCAAUGGGAGUAAUGUCUUCUUUGAUACAAAAGUUCCACCACUUCAUUUCUUCUUGACAAAGCUGAUUGUACUUUGCCCCUCCUUGUCUGUUUAGAUAGUACAUCGCGGUUGUAUUGUCCGUCAGUGUUUGGACUGACAAGCCUCUGAUGCAAGGGAUCAAAGCAUAGCAUGCCCUGUGAAUUGUCUGGAGUUAAAGGACAUUGACAGGAAGAGUUGCUUUGUGUUUCUUUCAUAAUGCUUGUGUUUUCAGGUUCUCUAGCACCCCACCCUUUCACAGAGGCAUCAGUAAUUGUCCUGGAUGGAAGUGGACGAGAAAAGGGUACAUCCCUGCAUAUGUUGAUCUGAUCAGUCCACCACUGUUGAGAUUGUAGGACUGCAGGAUGAACCCAGACCAACUUGUCCAUAGGAUGUCUGUCUGGUCAACAGACUGACUUCAGUGACCCUUGAAGGAUACGCAGGCAAAGCCUGACAUUGUGGGUCUUUUAAGUACUUAAGGCCGUGUUGCCUAAUAGCUUUAGACACAUCAAGACUGCGAUGGUGGUGUGUGACUUGAGAGAGAGGCAUAGUUGAUGAAUCGUCUGAAAUCUCUCCAGUGGGAGAAAAGCCUUGAAUUUGUAGAGUUGAGUAGGGCUCCACUGAACUUGGAUUUCCAUGGCAGGACUUAUGUAGAUUUUCCCCUGUUCAGCAUGAGUCUCAGAUGGUUGAAGAGAUGAACUGGAUAUAAUGGAGAAUCUGAUGUUUGGAUCUGUCCUGCAUUAACCAUACAUCCAUGUCAGGGGAGAGGAGCAUUCCCUUUCUCUUCAAGUAGACCACCACGUACUUGGUGAAUAGAUUUGGGGUUGACAACAGGCCAAAGGGAAGUAUUGAGUAUUGAUAGUGUUGGGCUGCUGUUAGAAAUCUUAGAAACUUCCUGCGAGUUAGCAGUCACAUGGAGGUAAGCAUCCUGCAGAUGGAGGGCAGCAAACCAGUCAUUGCAGUCUAGGGAAAGAAUGACUGAUGCUAGGGAAACCAUACAAAAUCUUAUGUACUUGAUGAACUUGCUGUGAUUUCAAAGGUCCACCCUGGGUCUCAGAACUCCCCCACACUCCUUGUACUUGGAGUUCAGAAAGUAUUGUCAGUUAAACUUCAUUCCCUGAUGUUGAAGGGGAACUUCCUCUAUGGCUCCUAGAGUGAACAGUGUCUGAACUGCUUGAAGGAGCAUUGACCUGUGAGAUUGGUCCCUGAAUAGCGAUGGGGCAGGUGGGUAGGAGAGGGAGACGGAGAGAAAUAGGAUAGAAUAUCCCAGUCUCACAGUGCUUAGGAUCCAUUUGUCUGUCAGUAUAGAGUCCCAAGCAGUGAGGAAACGGGACAGUCUGUCCGUAGAGGAGAGAUGGCUGGAAGAUCACUGAUGACUAUAUUGCUAUCUUCAAAGAAAUCAAAUGGGCUGCUUCUUAACAACUGAGGAUGCUAUCGAACUGGAGUUAGAGGGCCUCUUUCUCUGUGAUUUGUGCUUUCUCUUAAAAAAAAAUUUUCUAGCUUGGUGGGUAUUAUACUGAUGUUGAUAUUGUUGUUAUUGGAUCUGUAAUGAUGGCUGGGGUAUAGAUUUCUAACUAACAAAGGGUAGCCUGAGAGUCUAAAUAAUGUAAAGUUACACUGGUUUUAUCUGAAAAUAAAAGUUUAUCAACAAACAGGAUGACCUUUGUAGUUUGCUGGAUAUCAGAAGCUAUGCCCAAGCUCUGUAAUCAUGAGGAUCUCCUCACUAUUAGUGCAGAGGUUAUCACCAUAGAAGAAACAUCAGCCACAUCAAGCGUGGAGUGAAGCGACACCUUGGCCACCAUGGAGCCUUCUGCCCGGAAAGUUUUAAUUUCCUCCCUUGCAUUUUUUGGUAGUUUGUCAAAAACUUGGACAUUGCACCGCAGUUUACAAAGUCACAUUUUAGCUAACACUGUCUUCCGAUUCACUAUAUGCACUUGGAGAGAGGAAAUAGAAUGAUUUUUUUUUUUCUCCCAAAUAGAUCAAGUCUUUGGGGCUCUUUUUUUCUGCGGGAGUUGAUUUAAAUCUCCCCGAUGUGAUCUCUCAUUGGUUGAUGUAACUACCAGUGAGGCAGGAUGGGAAUAAAAUCACUCAAAGCUUUGCACUGGGAUAUGAUAUUUAUCUGUGCGCUUAGUUGUAGGAGCUAAGGAGACUCGUGUAUGCCACAAGGUCUUUGUCAGUUCUAGAAAAACCUCAUUAUUUUGGAGGGCAAUUGGCAUGUAAGUGUCCUCUUGCACAAGCUCAGCUUCUAUAAUGGAGAAGCCCCAGCCCCAGCCAUUCUUGUCAGCAGUACCUGAUGAGACUUAAAAUCCUCUGCUACCAGAGAAGAAGAGUCCAGGAUCACUGAGUCAUCGGUUGAGAAGGAGGAAGGGAUAACAGGAGCCAAUGGAUGCUUAUGUGAUAGAACUGGUUCAUCAGCAGUGGUUCUUCCUGCAGCACUGGAAUCAUAGAAUAUCAGCGUUGGAAGGGACCACAGGAGGUCAUCUAGUCUAACCCCCCGGCUCAAAGCAGGACCAAUCCCUAACUAAAUCAUCCCAGCCAGGGCUUUGUCAAGCCUGGAGCUCAAAGGUGAAUAGAAUCUCUGUGUGCUUCCAAUUUAGGUGGCUCUGGAAGCUGUUUUGCCAAAGGCAGUGGCAACCUUCCCCUAGAUUGGGCCAGUGAUCGAGACAUGGGGGACCAGGAAACACCAAAGGGGUCCAGUAAGGCCAUGGAGGGAGACCAUAAGGCAUGGGCAACCAAAAAGUAUUAGGUCAUGAUGACUUGUUCCUGCUGAAUGAUUGGCCCUGCCCCCAGUACUGAUGUUCUCCUGGGGGCAGCCUAGAUGAUUAGCUAGAGUGACUGUAUCUAGGAGAGGAUGGUGAGAUACUGUAAAAGUCUGAGCUUGACUGAGAAGAAUCAUCUGAGUAGUCCAUGGGCAUCAGGGGCGCAAAGCCCGAUGGGGCCACUAGGUGAUCUGUUGUAUCUAUAGCCCACUGUAAAGAUACUAACAUUGGCACCUAGGUAGAUAUGUUUCAGAGUAGCAGCCGUGUUAGUCUGUAUUCGCAAAAAGAAAAAGAGUACUUGUGGCACCUU